RNA transcript from Lolium rigidum, 1245 nucleotides. RefSeq lists it as uncharacterized. The record is from RefSeq and is a predicted model, not a curated record. The transcript has 5 exons. Lineage: Eukaryota; Viridiplantae; Streptophyta; Magnoliopsida; Poales; Poaceae.
GGUCGUCCAACACUUUCAAUUGGAGGACAUAUGCUUGUGGCAGCGGUGGAACAACCAUCAUUGGAGAUUGGGGGUGCCAGCCCGAUGAGUGUAAUCAUGGUGGUCGUCGAGAUACCAAUAUACCAUCACGCGGGAGCGGGUGCACUCAUCCAGUGCUAGAUCAUGUGUGUUCCUGCCGUUGCAUGACGAGGAGGGUUUCUAGAUAUGGCCCUCGGCAACCUCCAUGCCCCCUUCACCAGCUCACUAUUCCUCAAUGUAUUCUUCCCCUCCCAUGGAUUAGUUGUAAAUAAUGGAUGAAAGAAUAUCUUCUCCAACAGUGACGAACUAUUGAAGCUCAUAAAUUAUACUGUAUUAGAUAGUGCAAAGGUCUGAAGUUCCCUUCCUCCCGCUCAGCAGCGACACAUAGCUUCUACGCCUAAUGUGCCAAUCUUCCUGCAGCCUGGCUGUGGUUUGUCUCCAACUAUUCUUCGCCAGCCUCUUCUUCGGUGUAAAAUCAUAUGCCCAACGUGUGGAGCUCGAAUGUUCCAAGCCCAAACAAACAAAAGGGAAUGAGAGAAAUGAUCAGACCGAUAGAGGAAAGAAAGGUGUCCCAGAAGGCUUGGCAGGCAAGCUUCUAUUUCUCUCUUGAUUGCUGGCCGUAUUGUGUUGUUUUGUUUGGAAGCUAUGUUGCAGAAGCUGCAACUUCCAAGCCCCAAGUACGAAUGUUGUCCUGUCUAUCUCUCAAUGUCUGGCAGAAAGUUCAAGAGCUAUGAAAUGACCAAGAUUCUGCAUGCGAAAAAGCUAUCACAUACGUUCAGCAGGUGACCAAUACAAUCAUCAGUGAUUUAAGCUACGAUCGACUUUUAGAAACAUGCAAGUUCCACCCUAGAAAAGUGUUUGGAAAAUUGAGAGAGAAUUACUUCUCUUAGUUCUGGAACCAAGCGUGUCAACUUUUGGUGGUGCAAGUACCUAUUAGGGCUACGUUUCCAUUGCGCCCUGCCCUCUGAGGGCCAUGCUGCAACAUAGCAACUUAUGUAGAUGUUGCUUUUCCUUUUCUUUUCAUACUUUUGUCACUCUUUAACUGUUAUUUACUACAAUAUAUUGCCCUUUAGCCUGUUUGUAUGUAAGUGUUUGUUGCUCCGUUUGUAGUUUCGUGUGCUUUAUCGAAAUUUUAUCGUAACAACAUAGUACAUGGAACCUAAAAAAACAUAUUAUCAUGUUGGCAGUUAAAUUUUCCUUUGUUAUACAAAAUGAACAUUGGCUUGA